UAAUUUAAUUUGUUUUGUUUCUGUUUCUGUGUGCUUUUAUUGAAAAGAAGCAAAAUGAAAAGAGGAAGAUAAGAAGGUUUGAAUUUGAUAGGAAUUCACCUUUUUCCCCCAAUGUAGAUAAUGUCUGUGCAGUCAAGGAGUGAGAAUGUGAACACUUCUCUAUUUGACAAAAGAGAGCAUAUUGAGAAACCACAUAGCACUUGCAAUCUUCUUCGCAAAGUUCAGGUUUACUUUCUAGUUAAUCUUGCAGAAUCCGGUUCGUUGUUAUUUGAAGUUGCGGUUGCUUUGUAGUUAUUUGAAGUUGCUGUUGCUGUUAUCGUUCAAAUCAAUAUUACUGUCGCAUCAGCUCAUAAGGUGUAAUCACUCUUUUCUUAUCUCAUCAAAGGGAUGGUACUGUGCCCGUCUGGUUUAUUCAAAAGUACCUCAUGAAGAAACUUAAUUUUGCUAGCGAAGCUAAGGCAGCAAAGGAGUUUGAGUCUGAGCUUAAAAAUGACCCAGAUUCCACAGGAGAGGAGCCAUCUGAGAAAUCUACUGUGAGCGAAGAGGAGAAGCAAGACACAGAGGUAACUAGUUCUAAGGAGAGUGUAUGACAUUUGUAAUAGAUGUGAUAUGAUAAGUAGGUAUCAAAUUUUUACCAUGACAAUAUAUAUUAAAAAAAACAUCUUUCUCUAACCAAUAUCUAUUAAUUUAUCAGUUAUUCUCUUUAACAUGAGAAUGCAUCUUACAUGCAAGUGUACAAUUUAUUUAAGGAGAAUUUGAACUUUUUUUUUUUCUUCCUUCA
Molecule: long non-coding RNA, 781 nt
Organism: Medicago truncatula (barrel medic)
Lineage: Eukaryota; Viridiplantae; Streptophyta; Magnoliopsida; Fabales; Fabaceae
Exons: 4
Source: RefSeq, a predicted model, not a curated record